This 334-nucleotide unclassified non-coding RNA is filed under the name soil metagenome. RNAcentral describes it as "partial contains 5.8S ribosomal RNA, internal transcribed spacer 2, and large subunit ribosomal RNA". The stretch from base 1 to 120 matches the Rfam family "5.8S ribosomal RNA", at positions 35 to 154 of the family's 154-position model. The record is from RNAcentral.
GAUGAAGAACGUAGCGAAAUGCGAUAAGUAAUGUGAAUUGCAGAAUUCAGUGAAUCAUCGAAUCUUUGAACGCACAUUGCGCCCAUUAGUAUUCUAGUGGGCAUGCCUGUUCGAGCGUCAUUUCAACCCUUAAGCCUAGCUUAGUAUUGGGAAUCGACUUUACUGUCGUUCCUCAAAUUCAACGGCGGAUUUAUAGCAAUCUCUGAACGUAGUAAUUUUUUUCCUCGUUUUUGAAAUACUAUAAACCUCAGCCGCUAAACCCCCAAUUUUUCUAUGGUUGACCUCGGAUCAGGUAGGAAUACCCGCUGAACUUAAGCAUAUCAAAAGCGGAGGA